This 495-nucleotide ribosomal RNA is filed under the name uncultured bacterium. RNAcentral describes it as "partial 16S ribosomal RNA". It matches the Rfam family "Bacterial small subunit ribosomal RNA", at positions 28 to 523 of the family's 1533-position model. The record is from RNAcentral.
GAUGAACGCUAGCGGGAGGCCUAACACAUGCAAGCUGAGCGGUAGAGAUCUUUCGGGAUCUUGAGAGCGGCGUACGGGUGCGGAACACGUGUGCAACCUGCCUUUAUCAGAGGGAUAGCCUUUCGAAAGGAAGAUUAAUACCUCAUAAUAUAAUGAAUGGCAUCAUUUAUUAUUGAAAACUCCGGUGGAUAGAGAUGGGCACGCGCAAGAUUAGAUAGUUGGUGAGGUAACGGCUCACCAAGUCGAUGAUCUUUAGGGGGCCUGAGAGGGUGAUCCCCCACACUGGUACUGAGACACGGACCAGACUCCUACGGGAGGCAGCAGUGAGGAAUAUUGGACAAUGGGUUAGCGCCUGAUCCAGCCAUCCCGCGUGAAGGACGACGGCCCUAUGGGUUGUAAACUUCUUUUGUACAGGGAUAAACCUACCCUCGUGAGGGUAGCUGAAGGUACUGUACGAAUAAGCACCGGCUAACUCCGUGCCAGCCGCCGCGGUAA